Molecule: ribosomal RNA, 468 nt
Filed under: uncultured bacterium
Lineage: Bacteria
Description: partial 16S ribosomal RNA
Rfam family: Bacterial small subunit ribosomal RNA
Source: RNAcentral
GACGAACGCUGGCGGCGUGCUUAACACAUGCAAGUCGAACGGAAAGGCCCUGCUUUUGUGGGGUGCUCGAGUGGCGAACGGGUGAGUAACACGUGAGUAACCUGCCCUUGACUUUGGGAUAACUUCAGGAAACUGGGGCUAAUACCGGAUAGGAGCUCCUGCUGCAUGGUGGGGGUUGGAAAGUUUCGGCGGUUGGGGAUAGACUCGCGGCUUAUCAGCUUGUUGGUGGGGUAGUGGCUUACCAAGGCUUUGACGGGUAGCCGGCCUGAGAGGGUGACCGGCCACAUUGGGACUGAGAUACGGCCCAGACUCCUACGGGAGGCAGCAGUGGGGAAUAUUGCACAAUGGGCGGGAGCCUGAUGCAGCAGCGCCGCGUGCGGGAUGACGGCCUUCGGGUUGUAAACCGCUUUCGCCUGUGACGAAGCGUGAGUGACGGUAAUGGGUAAAGAAGCACCGGCUAACUACGUG